GGCGCAGGCGCAGUGGCAACACGCCUGGCACUGUGUGGGUAGGUGCCAGGGAGGCUCUUCCUACCCGGUAUCUUGUUCUGGCACCCAGGAGCUGACUGAAGUCUUUGACCCUUUGACCCGCUGGCAUUGGGUGGACGUCCUCUCAGCGCCCACCUUAAUCAAUGGCGUCAUGGCCGCAGUGGCUGGGGCCGGGCACCCGACUUUUCUGGACGUCUCUCAGCAAAGAGGAAAGAUGGAAACCGCAUCGCGAAAAGGAAUCACCGAAGGCAAACUGGAGCUUCCUAACAAGUGUCACCUGAGAGAUCUUCCUGUAAUCCAGAUGGUGGAAAGACCACCUCCCAGUUGGACAGAGGAUGCCUGAGACUGGAUUCAUUGCUUUCAAAGUUCCUUUGCAAAAGGUGGGAAUCUGAAGGCAAGGAGUGCCCUUUUUCUCUUUGGUAGCUGUGUAGGCCACAUGGCCAUCAAAGAGUCGAGUUGUUGUGGCCAUCAGAGGAAUAACAUGGACUUCUCAGAGUGAGGGUAUAAUGAAGCUGUGACACUUUGUGGUGAGGAGCUUUUUUUCUGGGAGAUUUUUUGGGGAUGUAGCUCCUUAUAAUCAUGCUACAAUUGGCCUCUGUAAGUUAUGAGAUGACAUUGACUCUGCC
RNAcentral lists this long non-coding RNA (644 nucleotides) under Ictidomys tridecemlineatus (thirteen-lined ground squirrel). Its description in RNAcentral is "lncRNA (ENSSTOG00000029333.1)". Lineage: Eukaryota; Metazoa; Chordata; Mammalia; Rodentia; Sciuridae. The record is from RNAcentral.